Molecule: ribosomal RNA, 1140 nt
Filed under: Triticum aestivum (bread wheat)
Lineage: Eukaryota; Viridiplantae; Streptophyta; Magnoliopsida; Poales; Poaceae
Description: partial small subunit ribosomal RNA
Source: RNAcentral
AUGGGGAAGACAUCGUGGAGCGCAUUGUUGGGCCUCGGCUGCUUCAGCUCCCACCGCGACCACGCCAGCGACGACCCCCGACCGCCCAGGCCGGCGCCGCUGCCUAACGACGACGGCCUUAAGACAGGCACCGGCGUGACACCGUCGCCGGAGGAUCUGCCCGUGUCGCUUGCGGGGUCCGGCGUGGAGGCGUUCACGGUGGACGAGCUCCGGACGGCGACGCGGGAUUUCUCGACCAGCAACUUCGUCGGCGAGGGCGGGUUCGGGCCGGUAUACAAGGGCUAUGUCGACGAGCGGCUCAAGCCCGGCGUGCGCGCGCAGGCAGUCGCCGUCAAGCUGCUCGACCUCGAGGGCUCGCAAGGACACAAAGAGUGGCUGGCUGAAGUUGUUCUUCUCGGACAACUGAGGCAUCCACACCUGGUCAAGCUGAUCGUCUACUGCUGCGAGGAUGAGCACAGACUCCUCGUUUACGAGUUCAUGGCGAGAGGCAGCCUAGAGAAGCAUCUCUAUAAGAGGUACACAACAUCAUUGUCGUGGUCAACUAGGCUGAAGAUCGCCAUUGAAGCUGCCAAAGGUUUGGCCUUUCUCCAUGACGCUGCCAAGACCAUCAUCUAUCGUGACUUCAAGACCUCCAACAUACUACUCGACUCGGAUUACCAAGCAAAGCUUUCUGAUUUUGGGCUAGCCAAGGAUGGGCCCGACGGAGACGAGACACAUGUCUCCACUCGAGUCAUGGGCACACAGGGCUACGCUGCACCAGAGUAUAUCAUGACAGGUCAUCUAACAACGAAGAGCGAUGUGUAUAGUUUUGGUGUGGUGCUGCUGGAGCUUUUGACGAGGCGAAAGGUGGUGGACAAGAACCGGCCGACACGGGAACAGAGCCUCGUCGAGUGGGCACGGCCAUACUUCCUCCAUGACUCACCCCGUCGGCUAGACCGUGCCAUAGACCGAAACCUGGACGGCCAGUACUCGGCUCUGGCCGCCCAGAAGGCUGCAGCCAUGGCAUAUCGAUGCCUGAGCAUCAGCCCAAAGUCUCGCCCUCAGAUGUCCGCCGUCGUGGAGGCCCUGGAGCCGUUGCUUGCCAUGGAUGAUGGCGUUGUAGAACCGUUCGUGUACACCGCACCACCGGAGAACAAAUGA